UACGGAGGAUGCAAGCGUUAUCCGGAAUGAUUGGGCGUAAAGCGUCCGCAGGUGGCUAUGUAAGUCUGCUGUUAAAGAGUGAGGCUCAACCUCAUAAGAGCAGUGGAAACUACAUAGCUAGAGUGCGUUCGGGGCAGAGGGAAUUCCUGGUGUAGCGGUGAAAUGCGUAGAUAUCAGGAAGAACACCGGUGGCGAAAGCGCUCUGCUAGGCCGCUACUGACACUGAGGGACGAAAGCUAGGGGAGCGAAUGGG
Molecule: ribosomal RNA, 253 nt
Filed under: uncultured bacterium
Lineage: Bacteria
Description: partial 16S ribosomal RNA
Rfam family: Bacterial small subunit ribosomal RNA
Source: RNAcentral